AUGGGUCUCUGCUGCUCCUGGGAGAGGGGGGAGGCUGAUUUACAUGCAGGGGAUAAGUGGGGGGGGGGGAGGGCUCCAGCCCAGCACCCUGCCCACGUGGCUGGAACCGAGCAGGCACUAGAUGUCUGGGGCCUCAGGAAGGAAAUGCGGGCCUGUGCGGUCUGUGCCUUUGAAACGGCCAGGGUUGCCUGGCACGCAAGCGACAACGGCGAACGGGGCGCAUGGAGUAUGGAGUUCUCUGGAAGCACCACGGGUGCUGCAGGCUGUGAGGUCCGCGUACCUGUUGCCUGUCCACAAAAAGACCUGGUGGUUGAGCCCCGCAGCUCUGGAAAGGCUAACGAGGAGCAAACGUCCCUGCUGCUGUGCUACUGGUGUCUCUGCCGGGCCUGGGGCUGUCGCCUUGUCACACAGGCAACUCUCCGCUGCUGCUCACACCUGAGCGCAGGCAGGGUGACUGAUCACGUGAGGCCCAGUGGUGGCUCCUGUCUGUCCUGUUCCUACGUAAUGCCGUUGUGGAAGAUCAGGUGUGCAGACCCUUGAGCUGCAGUUCCAGCAAUGGGGAUGGGGGUGGCACCCAGGAAUUUUCAUGUAAUUCUGCUGAGGAAGAUCUAAGUAUCAGAGCUGACAAAUGCAGGAUGAGGAAAAUCUAGCCAUGGGAAGCAGAAUUGGUAGAGUCAGGUCAAGAAGAGAGUCCUCACUUAAAAUAUGCCUCCUUUUUAUGCAGCAAUUCCAAGUCUGGAAAUUUAUCACAAGGGAAUAACAAGACAUGCACAAAUACCCUUGAAAAUCUUUUCAUAUUGCACAUUAUUUGUAAUAAAAAGAAGGAACUAACCUAGAUGGGCUGCGAUUGAUUUGUUAAGUAUGUAAUGAUACAGUCAUAUGAUGCAUUACUUAGCAGGGUUUCAUGUCAUUGAAAAUAAUAAGAUAUGUUAAUUAAAAAUCAGUUAAUAAAACAGUAUUAAGUUACAAUCCCUUUUCAUAAAAUAAACAUAGAAAUAUACACAGAGAUUGAAAACUGGGGUUACUGCUGGGUCAUGUCAUUACACUUAUUUUGUAUGUGUGCUAAUUUUCCUGCAUUUUCCAAAUUCUGUAUAGUGAACGUGUAAUCAUAAUUUGACGCAAUUAUUCUCUGGCAUACAGGCUGGGUUAUUCCUAGAGCAGAAUAGGAAAACCCCAAGUACCUAGGAGAUGCCCACAGAAGGAAUGCAGACAAUGAGAUACCCUUCCCCCAAAGAUUGGAGAAGUUCUAUAUUGAUGGCUUUGUAAAUAGUGGGAGUUCAAUAAACCCCAGGCAGUGUGGUUUUAGGACAAAACAUGGUACAAGUUUAUUUCCAAACCCCACCUGCUAGCAGCUAAGAAGUGCCUAUACAGGGAGGGCUUCCUGGCUCUGAGAUGAGGCCCGGUGGCACUUGUGACAGGAGA
RNAcentral lists this long non-coding RNA (1422 nucleotides) under Canis lupus familiaris (dog). RNAcentral's name for it is "lncRNA (ENSCAFG00030006300.1)". Lineage: Eukaryota; Metazoa; Chordata; Mammalia; Carnivora; Canidae. The record is from RNAcentral.